AUUUCCCCUCCCUCAACUCUUUGGUCUACUUCUCCUUUAUCUCCACAGAUGGAAGGUAGAUGAACUACAGUGAAGAGGAGAUGGAUAAGUUCUUCAAAGGAGGGACUUAUGUCUUAAAUUUCUUUGUAAACUCCAUUGCUUCGUACCAUGCCUGACAGAUUUAGGUACUCAGAGAGUGUUGGUUAAAGGUUGAAUGAAUGGGCUGAGCAAUGCAUAAGUGGGUAAAUAUAUUUAUUUUAUCCUUCUACUAUAACUUAAGGGAAAAAACAUGUUGCCUGAAUGUUUAUUACAACUCUUCUGUUAACCUUGUAGAGGAUGGAUCAACUGGACAGUGUAGAGAUGGAAGAAAAGGAAUGUCAUUUGCUAUACUCAGAACAUGUCCUGUGCUGGUGUUUUCACAGGAUGGUAACAGCACUUAACGCUAAGCCUGCAAGCCAGUUGAUGUCAGGACAGAGUCCUGAAUACUCACCUCAGUGAGGUAAGGAGCACACAGAGGGUCACA
This 502-nucleotide long non-coding RNA is filed under the name Capra hircus (goat). RNAcentral describes it as "lncRNA (ENSCHIG00000002775.1)". Lineage: Eukaryota; Metazoa; Chordata; Mammalia; Artiodactyla; Bovidae. The record is from RNAcentral.